UGCGUAGGCGGGUCUUUAAGUCAGGGUGAAAUCCUGGAGCUCAACUCCAGAACUGCCUUUGAUACUGAGGAUCUUGAGUUCGGGAGAGGUGAGUGGAACUGCGAGUGUAGAGGUGAAAUUCGUAGAUAUUCGCAAGAACACCAGUGGCGAAGGCGGCUCACUGGCCCGAUACUGACGCUGAGGCACGAAAGCGUGGGAGCAAACAGGAUUAGAUACCCUGGUAGUCCACGCCGUAAACGAUGAAUGCCAGCCGUUAGUGGGUUUACUCACUAGUGGCGCAGCUAACGCUUUAAGCAUUCCGCCUGGGGAGUACGGUCGCAAGAUUAAA
Molecule: ribosomal RNA, 328 nt
Filed under: uncultured bacterium
Lineage: Bacteria
Description: bacterial SSU rRNA
Rfam family: Bacterial small subunit ribosomal RNA
Source: RNAcentral